CCCUUAGAUGUUCUGGGCCGCACGCGCGUUACACUGAUGCAUUCAACGAGCUUAUAACCUUGGCCGAGAGGCCUGGGCAAUCUUGUUAACGUGCAUCGUGAUGGGGAUAGAUUAUUGAAAUUAUUAAUCUUGAACGAGGAAUUCCUAGUAAACGCAGAUCAUCAAUCUGCAUUGAUUACGUCCCUGCCCUUUGUACACACCGCCCGUCGCACCUACCGAUUGGAUGGUCCGGUGAAGCCUCGGGAUUGUGGUUCUUGCCGCUUUAUUGUGGCGUGACCGCGAGAACUUGUCUAAACCUUAUCAUCUAGAGGAAGGUGAAGUCGUAACA
RNAcentral lists this ribosomal RNA (328 nucleotides) under uncultured eukaryote. Its description in RNAcentral is "partial 18S ribosomal RNA". It matches the Rfam family "Eukaryotic small subunit ribosomal RNA", at positions 1470 to 1796 of the family's 1831-position model. The record is from RNAcentral.